Molecule: long non-coding RNA, 481 nt
Filed under: Macaca mulatta (Rhesus monkey)
Lineage: Eukaryota; Metazoa; Chordata; Mammalia; Primates; Cercopithecidae
Description: lncRNA (ENSMMUG00000060444.1)
Source: RNAcentral
CAGUCUUCAAAACAGCUGUAGAAGUUUGUUAUGUUUAUCUAUUUUCCAAACAGGUGUCUGUUUAUAAACUCAGUAGCACAUUUUCAGCAGAAGAGAGAUGCAUGGUGAAUUGUCAAAUUGAAAUACAUUUUCAGAACUUACAAGAAGACAGAAAAAAAACCUUUGAAAUAAUUUUAGAGCUGAGAAUCCUGAAAGUGGGCUCAAAAAAUCAACAAAAUCUUAUCUUGCAGUUGAGGAUACCAAGAUAAAGAAUGGGUGCUUUCAGGGCUUUGGCAGAGUUUGACACACACACCCAGCCUGGCAGCUCUGUGUUCAGGCGCUUGUGUAAGCACUGGACUCACACAAUGGCGUCCCACAUUGCUCAUUUAUGGAAUCACAGCAAAAGUUUUACCUUCCUUCCUCUUCCACCGUUAUCACUGGUGAUGAUCCUCCCUGCAAUCUGGCUUUGCUGGUGGUGUUAAAUGAAACAAUCCUCUUGCCC